RNAcentral lists this ribosomal RNA (424 nucleotides) under uncultured beta proteobacterium. RNAcentral describes it as "bacterial SSU rRNA". It matches the Rfam family "Bacterial small subunit ribosomal RNA", at positions 202 to 622 of the family's 1533-position model. The record is from RNAcentral. Lineage: Bacteria; Pseudomonadati; Pseudomonadota; Betaproteobacteria.
AAAGACCUUAUGCUUUUGGAGCGGCCGAUGUCUGAUUAGCUAGUUGGUAAGGUAAAGGCUUACCAAGGCGACGAUCAGUAGUUGGUCUGAGAGGACGACCAGCCACACUGGGACUGAGACACGGCCCAGACUCCUACGGGAGGCAGCAGUGGGGAAUUUUGGACAAUGGGCGAAAGCCUGAUCCAGCAAUGCCGCGUGAGUGGAGAAGGCCUUCGGGUUGUAAAGCUCUUUCAGUCGAGAAGAAAAGAUUGUGACUAAUAAUCAUAAUUUAUGACAGUAUCGACAGAAGAAGCACCGGCUAACUACGUGCCAGCAGCCGCGGUAAUACGUAGGGUGCGAGCGUUAAUCGGAAUUACUGGGCGUAAAGGGUGCGCAGGCGGUUCUGCAAGUCAGAUGUGAAAUCCCCGGGCUUAACCUGGGAACU